Molecule: long non-coding RNA, 2638 nt
Organism: Syngnathus typhle (broad-nosed pipefish)
Lineage: Eukaryota; Metazoa; Chordata; Actinopteri; Syngnathiformes; Syngnathidae
Exons: 5
Source: RefSeq, a predicted model, not a curated record
AUAAUAAAUUAAUUUUAUCUUUUAAAAAUUAUUUUCCAAUUUUAAAUUAUUGCGGACCACCUGCAAUACAGCCACAGACCACUAAAGGGCCGCCAGUUCACAACCCCUACAAAUAAAGAACACAAUAUUUGCAAUUGCUUGGGUUGAAAGUGCCUUCAGGGUGACUGCAUGUAUUUUUUAUUUAGCAACAUUAGCAACACAGUUCCAGCCUUAAUCUGUGGAGUUUGCAUGUGGUAGCAGAUGUGGCGCUGGUGAUUUCAGGCUCACAGUCAAGGAGCAUAUCUGACUCAAGGGGCAUAUUAAGAAAACAAAAAAGCCCUGCUGGGUGAGUGUCGUCACAUAGGCGAUAGGACCGGGCCGGCGAGCUAUGUCAUGGGCCGGCUCAUUAUAAUCCCAGCAGCGGCUGUACCAUCUCCAUUGCAUGCUUGGUGCCUUUGCCCAAUGCUAUCAAACCCAACGGACAUAAAUUUGACUUGAAGUGAUUUGAUAUGGCAAAAAGCUAAUUGGUUGAGUGUCUUUAAAUGAACCAUAAAAAGAGAAGAUUCAUAUUGCACUAAUUAAAAGUAUUUGCUACCCCACGCCUACAGCCUGCCCUGGAAGUGUUUUUCCUCAGAGAGCUUCGCCGUGCCUCACUGACUGCUGGGAAAAACACGAGGUAUGAAAAGGCAACCUUCCUUUCACUCAGCAUGCCAGGCGUUUUAUCCGGCACCUUAAUGUAGCAAUCAGACCCAAGCGUGAACGCUGCCCACCCAGUCCAUCAACCUCCCUCUGUACCAUGCGCGACUGAUUGGCUGAAUGAGAAGCAGGAGUCGAAACCUUCGCAGGAGACCACAGAAAAGUGCCGCCGCAAGCACCACGAGCGGUGACAUCAUCACAAAGCCCAGGAUGAUGAGGGCAGAGCAACUGUUGUCGUCAAGACAUACGGAGACAGUACGUUGGAAUCAACUCACCCUGGAAUGGCACAGGAAUCCAGCAUAGAGCAGCACCACUGCGGGCAGCAGCACCAAGGAGAAGACCAGCGUCAGGAGCACAGCACCAGCCAGGAGCACACAUAUGUUCCAAAGAACCAGAACCACCCCACAGACCACGCAGCCCGCCCUGCCUCUUUUGGUGCCCCACGCGGAACCCCCGCUGUGGGCCACGGGAGGGGGCAGCAUCUUCACUCGUUCAUCCAGCCACAAGUCUUCAUCCUUCUCCUCUUCAAGUGAGCCUCCAUCAUCCAGGUCAACAUCAGUGCCACACAUUCUGAAGAUGGGAGCAACACUUUCAAAGUGAAAUAAUAUCAAGGAACUGGAAAUGGAAUGGAUCUAGCUGCUCGAUGCUGAACCUGGCCCUCAUUCCAAACCAGCAGGCGGUCAAGUCUCAGAGCUCAUUAACACACAAUCUUACCUCCCACACCCAAACCACAGUUUAUUGGUCUGAAAGAGACAAAAGGAGUGGCAAAGAAUCUUCUUGACUCACUUUAUUAAAUAUACAUUGAGUGCCCUAAGCGGGGCCAAAGUGGGCAUAAGUGACACAGCCAAAGCGCAACAUGAAACAGAUGCUUAUGUAGUGAAUCCGCUCGCAUCCUCUUUAAUCCUUCACUGCUGGUCCUGAGAGGAAAACAAAAAUCAUGUAGCCUUAGGUGUGCAUGUGUGAACAGACCUUCUUCACGCUCACCUUAACCACGCGGCCAUGAAUCAAGUACGGUGACCUGAAGUCAUUCUGGCAGUUGGAGUAGCCCAUGCCCAAACCCAAACCGGCACCGAACGAGACAGGCCAUGUGCGUCCUGGCGGGAGAACAAAAACAUUCAUUCAUCAGCUAAAUGAGGAGAGCCUGGUUCUCUUUACACUGAUGACUUACGUUUAAAGAGAAGGAUGGAGAAGACAAUCCCUACACCCAGGCCGGUUACUGCAAAGGGGAAGAAAAAUAGACGGCAUUAACAACUCGACUGCAGUGACUCAACUCAAGCGCUGAGGUGGGGUCAUUAUGUUUGAUCCACUCAUAAAGUGUCUGGCACGGUGGACGGGAAACAGACGUCCUGGACUUGGAAUCAUACAACCUUCCGACCUACGUAUUUAUACUUUUUUUAACAUACCAGUGUUAUUUAUAUAUAAUACAAUCUAUACCAAAAUAAAAACAUAGUGCAACAUAAAUCAAAACAAUUAACUCCAAGUAGACCCUUAAAACUGCUAGGUUAAAAAUGAGACUGACCCAGGAGAUUGGGUUGAUUUGACUCAACUUUGGAUUAAAAAAAAAAAAAAAAAGUCUAAAUUUUUAAGCAUAUAAAACACACGUCAAGGAUAAAUGUCCUUAUAGCUUAAAUAAUGCAUUGUGCCAUGCAAAGCAUUCUAUCAAUUGAAAAGGAGAAUUAUUUUAAAAAAUAUAUAUAUAUUUAUAGUCGAGCCCCAUGAUUUGCGGGGAAUAGGGACCUGCUGCACAUGUAGUUAAAGGAAUUGAAUGCUAUGGUGUCGGUCCCAUGCAGCGCAGCCAUAAGAAUUGUCGGGCAGUGGCACAAAAAUCACCACGCUUGUUUUGUCUCGGACCGGAGAGGACCUAGAGGAGGAAUGUGCAGGCCACGCCGCACCCAGUGGCAGGCCAGCCAGCACAGAAAACAUAUAAAAAAAAAAUUGACAAUAAAGCUGACUCUGACUCUGA